GACGGAGGGUGCGAGCGUUAAUCGGAAUUACUGGACGUAAAGCGCAUGUAGGCGGCCGAACAAGUCAGGUGUGAAAUCCUCGGGCUUAACCUGGGAAGUGCACUUGAUACUGUCCGGCUAGAGUUUGGCAGAGGAAAGUAGAAUUCCCGGUGUAGCGGUGAAAUGCGUAGAUAUCGGGAGGAAUACCAGUGGCGAAGGCGGCUUUCUGGGCCAAUAGUGACGCUGAGGUGAGAAAGCGUGGGGAGCAAACAGG
Molecule: ribosomal RNA, 253 nt
Filed under: uncultured bacterium
Lineage: Bacteria
Description: partial 16S ribosomal RNA
Rfam family: Bacterial small subunit ribosomal RNA
Source: RNAcentral